This is a long non-coding RNA of Homo sapiens (human), 482 nucleotides long. NCBI's taxonomy places the organism in Eukaryota, Metazoa, Chordata, Mammalia, Primates, Hominidae. The record is from Ensembl.
UGUGAAGAAUGCUGCUGUGAACAGGGGAGUGCCCCUGCCUGUUUGGGUCCCUGCUUUCCAUUUCUUUGGGAGCUCUUGGAACAGAACCAGACUUCUGGCCGGGGCUCAGUCAGUGCUUGCAAGAUGUUUGUUGGCACCAGGCUGUGCCAGGAGAGCAUCAUUAUAAACUGCUGAUCUACUGUUUCUUUGUCAAACGGGAGGAGAUAACAUGAGGGUCAUGAGAAAUGUUUGCAGACGGAGUGAAUGCCUUGAAAGUGCUGCGACCAGGUGCUGACACCCGGAGGUCUGGCUGCUCAAAGUGUUAGCUGACACGGAAGACACACGGACUUUCCCUCCAUUCCCCAAAACUCCCCUUCCCUGACUCGUCAGCUGCAUAAAAACCCUCUCCUUAUCUCUUUGUCAAGGGGAUUUGAGAAAUCUUGCUGUCUUGUCUUCUUGCUUUGGCCAAAUGGAAUAAACCUUUCUCUGUCUCCAGACACCUA